This is a long non-coding RNA of Bombina bombina (fire-bellied toad), 3854 nucleotides long. RefSeq lists it as uncharacterized. The record is from RefSeq and is a predicted model, not a curated record. The transcript has 2 exons. NCBI's taxonomy places the organism in Eukaryota, Metazoa, Chordata, Amphibia, Anura, Bombinatoridae.
CUGGAGGAACCUACUAUUCCUAAGCUCGAUAAGGUUUAUGAGAACAGGGUAGUGCUCCAGACUUUCCCUGUUCCCGUAAAGAUGGUGAAUAUUAAGAAUCAAUGGGAGAGACUUUGAUAGUCUUUUUUUUCCCUUCGGUUAAAUAAUUGUUCCAGAUUCACAGCUAGAAUUGUGGGGAUCUGUCCCUAAGGUAGACGGAGCUAUCUCCACGCUCGCUAAGCACACCACUAUCCCGCUUGAGGAUAGUUCGUCUUUUAAGGAACCCAUGGAUAAGAAAUUAGAGACCCUGUUAAGAAAGAUGUUUCAACAUACAGGGUUCGUUUUUCAGCCGCGGUCGCUGCAGUGGCGGGAGCUGCUACCUAUUGGUGUGACUCUGUCAGAAAUGGUCGAGGUAGAGACUCCCCUCGAGGAGAUACAGGAAAGAAUUAGGGCCCUGAGGGUUGCUAAUUCGUUUCUGUGAUGCUAAUAUGCAGAUUAUUCGCUUGAAUGCCAAUGUUCUGGCCCGGAGGGCUCUGUGGUUGAAGUCGUGGUCUGCUGAAAUGUUGUCCAAAUCUAGAUUGCUUUCUUUUCCGUUAAAGGAAAAGAUUCUCUUUGGUUCAGGUCUGGACUCUAUCACAUCCACGGUUACGGGGGACAAGGGUGCCUUUCUACCACAGGAUAAGAAGAAUAAACCUAAGGGUCUUAAUUUUCGUCCCUUUCGUUCGGACAAGUACCAAUGACGGCAACCUGCUGCGAAAACCGAGCAUUCCAAGGGAUCUUGGAAUAAAACCAAGCAGAGCAAGAAGCCUGCCGAGACAAAAACGGCAUGAAGGGGCAGCCCCUGAUCCGUCUCUGGAUUUCAUGGGGGCAGACUAUAUCUUUUCGCGGAGGCUUGGAUGAGAGACGUACAGGAUCCUUGGGUUCUGGAGGUUGUUGCCCAGGGUUACAGGAUAGGUUUCAAAACUCAUCCUCCCAGGGGCAGAUUCCUCUUGUCAAAUCUAUCGUCAAAACCAGAGAAACGAGAUGCCUUUCUAGAGUGUGUAAGGGAUCUCUCCUCUUUAGGAGUAAUUGUGCCGGUACCUCUAGCAGAAAGGGCUCUAGGGUAUUAUUCAAACCUGUUUGUGGUUCCAAAGAAGGAUGGAUGGUUUGGAGAGCUGUGGCUUCUUCUUUAGCCUUUAAGAAUGAGGCAUCUAUGGAGCAGAUUUGUAGGGCGACUACCUGGUCCUCCUCACACACUUUUACAAAAUUUUACAGAUUUUACGUUUUUGCUUCAGCUGAAGCUGUUUUUGGGAGAAAGGUUUUGAAGGCUGUGGUGCCCUCAGUAUAGGGUCCGCCUUGCUUUUUACCCUCCCGUUUUUUCAUUGUGUCCUCUAGAGCUUUGGGUAUUUGUUUCCCACAAGUAAUGAAUGAAACCAUGGACUCUCCUCAUGCUUACCUUAUAAUUUAAUUUCCAUCGUUACGAGGAGAGUCCACGGCUCCCGCCCGGUUGUCCGUUGGGCGGACCUUAAUUUCUUUUGUUUUUUCUUCUGGAACCAUUUAUACCCUGAUAUUUUUCCUACUGUUCCUUGUUCCCUCUGCAGAAUGACUGGGGGAUGAGGGGGGCCGUGGGGGAGGUAUUUAAGCCUUUGGCUGGGGUGUCUUUGUCUCCUCCUGGUGGAAGUAAUGAAUGAAGCCUUGGACUCUCCUCGUAACGAUGGAAAUUAAAUUAUCAGGUAAGCAUAAUUUGUUUUAUCAUUUGUUGUAUUAAUUUGUCUGUCUCUUGUAGUUGCUUUUCGCAUAUAUGACAUGGACAAGGAUGGCUAUAUCUCCAAUGGUGAGCUUUUCCAGGUGCUGAAGAUGAUGGUUGGAAACAAUCUGAAGGACACCCAGUUACAGCAAAUAGUAGACAAAACGAUUAUUAAUGCAGAUAAAGAUGGCGAUGGAAGAAUAUCCUUUGAAGAAUUCUGUGCUGUCGUAGGAGGUUUAGAUAUCCACAAAAAGAUGGUCGUAGAUGUGUGACUUCACAACUGCACCCAACACUUUUGCUUUCUUCUCCAUCUCUGAAGAUCUGCUCAAGACGUCCAGCAAUGCUCUGUGUAUUUUAAAUGGAAGUAUUUUUCUCUGUGAAGCCACAUUUUCCAUCAUGAGCCUCAUGAAGCCAACUUAGUGUUAUUGAACUUUUGAUUCUCUCAAUAACUCAGUGUAGCACUUUAAAGUCUGAAGGACAGCAAGGUGGGAAGAGCAUAAUGUGGUGGUGAUAAGGGAGUUGGCUUUUUAUUUAUUUUUUUCUCCAUCUUUUAUAACAAGGAAUAUAUAUAGCUUUUUAAGUAGUGAUUAGGUGAAAGUUAAUUUAAUAUACUUGAGUCAAAUACAAAACUAGAUUACAAAAGUGCCAAGCAGAACAUAACCCGUUCAUUACAUGAAUAUAAAUCCUUACUUUUAUUUCACACCGUUUUAUAUAUAUAUAUUGUAGAAGAAUGUAUACUUUACACUGUGUUUGGUCAUGGAUUUUCUUUUCUUUUUUUGUGAUUUUUUUUUUUCUUCUUCAAAUGUUUAUAUGUUAACUGGUUUGAUCAACACUUGUUUCCUGUCUACGUUACAUUUUUUUUUUCUAACACCGGAAAAUUGUUUGUUUUAUUUAUACAUUUUAAUAUGUUACCAGGGACUAUAUCUCUUGCUUUCUAAAAUGUAGCUGAAUGUUACUGCCAAGAGAAGAACCCUUUGUGCCCAUUGCAACUGUACAGAGCUUGAGGGCCACUUCAUACAGCUUUUCAUAGUUUCUGAGGGGAGCCACUGCAUCUUUCAUUGAUAUCAUGAAUGCAGCUGCUGCAUUGGAUAAAUUCUAAGAGGAACUGUCUUUUUUAAUGACCAACUUAAUUUACAUAACUGUCGGUGCUAAAUGUCAUACUGGCACCUAUGAUGAUUUUUUUUAUAUAUGUGGGGGGGAAAAAACAAAUAUGUUACCUUUAAAGUCUUUGUAUAAGAAAUGAAUGCCCCACCAAACUGAAGGAUACAAGCUACUGCAGCCAGCAUGACUGGUAAUAUUUAAAUACAUGUAUAUUGGGUAUAGAUGAAAAUAAGCUGUUUUUUCCUUCUCAGUCUUUUUACCUGGAAAGAUCACCCAUUUUCUGUGUUUGUGUCGAUAUUACAUUUGUGUGAUAUAAAAGUAGAGACCCUUUUUCUGCUCUGGUACUAUUGGCUGGAAGAUUAAAAAAAAGUUAUGACUGUACAUUUUUGGAAGCAUUUUUAAAACCUCUUAAAACUGUCCGGUUUAAUUUCCCCUGUAUUCAAGCACCAAUCUGCCAUAGUUGUUCCUUCAACUGAGUGCUUCACAUCAUGGGCUCUGUCUGUGCGAGAGAAAUUCAGGUGCUUGAUGUCUUUGCAUGACAUGGAGUUUGCAUGUAGAUCGAUUUGAAAUGUUCCUCUUGUUUACAUAAUUUGCAUCAUAUUAAAAAAGAAAAUUGCCAAACGUUGGUAUAUGUUAAUGUUCAAAUAAUAAAAAUAAAUCUCCACUACAUGUAACUUUCUUCCUCUGGAUCAGUACAUGGUUCAUUAUCCCAGCCAGUGGUUCUGUUCCGUUGUCAGCCAUGUGUUCUGCUUCAAGGGGAAACUAGUCUCUUGUGAUUUUUUUUUUUUCUCCUUUAUUUUUGUACAGAAGUUGUGUUACAAACAUUUUAGCAUAUGCUUUCUUUCUCUUGCUUGUGCAUAUCUUGGCUGGCGUAUAUAAAAAAAAAAAGACUAACCUUUUUCCUUUGUUGGAGAAUUAUUGUUUUUUUUUAGUUUGUGUGGGGAAAAUGGUUUAUGUUGAAUGUUUAAUUUUUUCCUCUGCAUGCUAUAUAACUUGUAGGAACAUUAGAAUUCUUCAUACUGUAUGAAUAAAACAUUGAAACUUGUUA